UAAAUUAGUAUAAGUUAUGGUCUUUAAAAUUAAAGAUUUUGGCGGUAUCUUAGUCUUUUUAGAGGAACCUGUCCUGUAAUUGAUUUUCCACGAUUAAUUUUACUUAAGUUAUUAAUUUAUAUAUCGUCGUAUUAUAAAAAUAUUAUAAGGUAAAAAAUUUUUGUAAUUUUUUAUUAAAAAAUUAUUCAGAUCAAGGUGUAGUUUAUAUUUAAGAAGAGAUGGGUUACAAUAAAUUUAUUUAUUUAUGGAUUAGAAUUUGCAAUAAUUUUUUAAAGGUGGAUUUAAAAGUAAUUAAAAUUAAUUAAUUUUAAUGAUUUUAGCUCUAAGAUAUGUACACAUCGCCCGUC
RNAcentral lists this ribosomal RNA (347 nucleotides) under Proteinus sp. Its description in RNAcentral is "partial 12S ribosomal RNA". The record is from RNAcentral. Lineage: Eukaryota; Metazoa; Arthropoda; Insecta; Coleoptera; Staphylinidae.